Molecule: ribosomal RNA, 836 nt
Filed under: Platypus spinulosus
Lineage: Eukaryota; Metazoa; Arthropoda; Insecta; Coleoptera; Curculionidae
Description: eukaryotic LSU rRNA
Rfam family: Eukaryotic large subunit ribosomal RNA (bases 213-836)
Source: RNAcentral
AGAAAUUCAUUCGUGUAUCGUUGUUGACUAGAUUGUGUGUGUUUGACGAUAAAUAAAUUAAAUCGGCUAUUUGGUCGGUAUUGAUUUAUAUGUUGCUACAUAUCUAUCUUUGGUCUGACAGUGAACACGUGCAUUUUUCUUCUGGUAGGACGUUGCGAUCCGUUAGGAUAUUUAUCGAUCUAUGAUUUAUGGUUAUACGUUCAUUGAUACAUAUAUAUAAAUUUAUGUAUGUUAAUAUCAAUGAAACUAUUUAUUCUGAUCGAUUUACCUGACGGUAGAUAAAAGGUUAAAAGUCGCUAGUAAGUUAGCGUUAGAAGCAAGACAAAUAUAUAAAAUGUGUAUAGGCGCUAUAUAUUUUAUUUAUAAAGUUUAUAGUGUUCUCGGUAAUCGAUAUUUAUGUCAAUUCCGAGCCGUUUAUGUAUUGUUAGUCGAGCAUAUCUCUAACAGACUUUAUUAUUUUAUAUAAAACCGAUCAGCGACGCUAUAGCUUUGGGUACUUUCAGGACCCGUCUUGAAACACGGACCAAGGAGUCUAGCAUGUACGCAAGCCAUUGGGAUAUUAAACCUAUAGGCAUAAUGAAAGUAAAAAUCAAUUAACCUUGUGUAAAUUGAGGGGAAGAUGAUUGAUGAUUACAUGUUUAGUUAUGUGUGACAUCAUUUCGCAUUCCCGGGGCGUUUAAAUUUCAUUUGUUUGUUUACAUUCGAAUGAGAUUAUGCGCACCAAGAGUGUACACGCUGGGACCCGAAAGAUGGUGAACUAUGCCUGGUCAGGACGAAGUCAGGGGAAACCCUGAUGGAGGUCCGUAGCGAUUCUGACGUGCAAAUCGAUCGUCGGA